GACGAACGCUGGCGGCGUGCUUAACACAUGCAAGUCGAACGGAAACGCCCUGCUUUUGUGGGCUGCUCGAGUGGCGAACGGGUGAGUUACACGUGAGUAACCUGCCCUUGACUUUGGGGUAACUUCAGGAAACUGGGGCUAAUACCGGAUAGGAGCUCCUGCUGCAUGGUGGGGGUUGGAACGUUUCGGCGGUUGGGGAUGGACUGGCGGCUUAUCAGCUUGUUGGUGGGGUAGUGGCUUACCAAGGCUUCGACGGGUAGCCGGCCUGAGAGGGUGACCGGCGACAAUAGGACUGAGGUACGGCCCAGACUGGAACGGUAGGCAACGGUGGAGAGUAUUACACAGUAGGCGGGAGCCUGAUGUGACAACGCCGGGGGCGGGAAGACGGCCUGGGGGUAGUGAACCGCAUUCGCCUGAGACGAAGCGUGAAUGACGGUAAUGGGAGAAGAAGCACCGGCUAACUACGUG
This 468-nucleotide ribosomal RNA is filed under the name uncultured bacterium. Its description in RNAcentral is "partial 16S ribosomal RNA". It matches the Rfam family "Bacterial small subunit ribosomal RNA", at positions 28 to 507 of the family's 1533-position model. The record is from RNAcentral.